Molecule: ribosomal RNA, 427 nt
Filed under: uncultured Wolbachia sp.
Lineage: Bacteria; Pseudomonadati; Pseudomonadota; Alphaproteobacteria; Rickettsiales; Anaplasmataceae
Description: bacterial SSU rRNA
Rfam family: Bacterial small subunit ribosomal RNA
Source: RNAcentral
GAGUAAUGUAUAGGAAUCUACCUAGUAGUACGGAAUAAUUGUUGGAAACGGCAACUAAUACCGUAUACGCCCUACGGGGGAAAGAUUUAUCGCUAUUAGAUGAGCCUAUAUUAGAUUAGCUAGUUGGUAAGGUAAUGGCUUACCAAGGCAAUGAUCUAUAGCUGAUCUGAGAGGAUGAUCAGCCACACUGGAACUGAGAUACGGUCCAGACUCCUACGGGAGGCAGCAGUGGGGAAUNUUGGACAAUGGGCGAAAGCCUGAUCCAGCCAUGCCGCAUGAGUGAAGAAGGCCUUUGUGUUGUAAAGCUCUUUCGGUGAGGAAGAUAAUGACGGUACUCACAGAAGAAGUCCUGGCUAACUCCGUGCCAGCAGCCGCGGUAAUACGGAGAGGGCUAGCGUUAUUCGGAAUUAUUGGGCGUAAAGAGCGC